Molecule: ribosomal RNA, 373 nt
Filed under: Paenibacillus sp. C22
Lineage: Bacteria; Bacillati; Bacillota; Bacilli; Caryophanales; Paenibacillaceae
Description: bacterial SSU rRNA
Rfam family: Bacterial small subunit ribosomal RNA
Source: RNAcentral
AACGCGAAGAACCUUACCAGGUCUUGACAUCCCUCUGACCGGUACAGAGAUGUACCUUUCCUUCGGGACAGAGGAGACAGGUGGUGCAUGGUUGUCGUCAGCUCGUGUCGUGAGAUGUUGGGUUAAGUCCCGCAACGAGCGCAACCCUUGAUCUUAGUUGCCAGCAAUUCGGUUGGGCACUCUAAGGUGACUGCCGGUGACAAACCGGAGGAAGGUGGGGAUGACGUCAAAUCAUCAUGCCCCUUAUGACCUGGGCUACACACGUACUACAAUGGCUGGUACAACGGGAAGCGAAGCCGCGAGGUGGAGCCAAUCCUAUAAAAGCCAGUCUCAGUUCGGAUUGCAGGCUGCAACUCGCCUGCAUGAAGUCGGA